CUGUGGAGGAGAAAGAAUCUAGAUUAUGUGAGACUUCCUAGACUAAUAAAGGAUUCUGAAUUUAUUCUAAAAGCAACGGAAAGCCAAAGCAUAAUUUUAAAUAGAAAGUAACAAGGUUAAGACUUAUUUUUAAACAAUCACUUGAAAAGACAGAAUUGUUAUUUGUUCACAAUAAUCCAAAAGAAUUACAAACAAUUAGAAAUGAUGGAGUUUAUCCAAGUUGAUGGUUACAAAAUCAAUACCAGCAAUAAUCAAAUGAAAUAAAAAGGAUGCUAUUUAUAUUGCAAAAAAAAUUUUAAUCAUAUACCAGGAAUAAAUUUAAUAAAGCAUGUGUAAAAGGCCUUUAUGAAGAAAACUGCAAAAUACAGAAGAAUCAAAUAAAUAGCAAGAUAAACCAUGUAUAGUCAAUGCAAUUCCAAAUAAUAUCCCCAAAGGAAUUUGAUAAAAUAGUUUUAAGUUAUGAAAGAAUGAAAGUCUAAGAGUCAAGAUAGUUCUGAAAAUUAAUAAAGGGGAGGCCUGGAAUCCCAGAUUUCAAAGCUUAAUAUAGAACUAUGUGAAAUAAAAAAAUGUAGUACUGGUGUUUAAAAAAGAUUAAGACAAAAAAUUAAAUUAAAAAAAAAAAA
Molecule: long non-coding RNA, 623 nt
Organism: Herpailurus yagouaroundi (jaguarundi)
Lineage: Eukaryota; Metazoa; Chordata; Mammalia; Carnivora; Felidae
Exons: 2
Source: RefSeq, a predicted model, not a curated record